CUGACUUUCCCACCCUGGUUUGGGUUGUUUAUGGUUUAGUGUCUUUUUGUGUUUCUGUUUUGUCACAGCUUGACGAAUCCUGGACAGCGCAGAGGGAAAAAGGAUAAGACGAAAAGUCGCUUUGGGGAGAUGACAGCCUGCACCGGAGCUGAUGGCAAGGCUUUUGGAAAAAGGUCGGAGAAAUGUCUGUUGGGCAUCUGCUCAACAGCUGACAAGGUUUUGGAUAAUGUUAAAGAUUCCCUCUAGAAUGUAAGCUCAUUGAGCAGGGCC
Non-coding RNA from Pelobates cultripes (western spadefoot toad), 270 nucleotides. NCBI's taxonomy places the organism in Eukaryota, Metazoa, Chordata, Amphibia, Anura, Pelobatidae. The record is from the annotation of a GenBank genome assembly.